GGGAAAUGUGUGUGGGGUUGUGUGUGAGCCAACACAACCCUUUACAAAAUUAGGCUCC
Chlorocebus sabaeus (green monkey) is the source of this 58-nucleotide regulatory RNA element. It matches the Rfam family "Ma3 gene ribosomal frameshift signal". NCBI's taxonomy places the organism in Eukaryota, Metazoa, Chordata, Mammalia, Primates, Cercopithecidae. The record is from Rfam.